This 3664-nucleotide long non-coding RNA is filed under the name Anolis carolinensis (green anole). Its description in RNAcentral is "lncRNA (ENSACAG00000037002.1)". Lineage: Eukaryota; Metazoa; Chordata; Lepidosauria; Squamata; Anolidae. The record is from RNAcentral.
AUGAUUACUAUAGGACUUGAUGAAGCCUUCUGUCAACAGCUGACCAAACAGGCACAAAGAAGAGAUAUAGUAGUCAUGGGCGAUUUCAAUUAUUCCGAUAUCUGCUGGAAAACAAACUCGGCCAAGAGUACAAAGUCCAACAAAUUCCUCACUUGCCUUGCAGACAAUUUUAUGGUCCAGAAGGUAGAAGAGGCAACAAGAGGAUCAGCAACUCUUGAUCUAAUCUUAACAAAUGUGGAAGACCUGAUCAAUACAGUUGAAGUGGUUGGAUCCUUAGGGGCAAGUGACCAUGUGCUCCUGGAGUUUGCAAUACAAAGGAAUGCUGAAACUAGGACAAGUCAAACACGCAUUCUCGACUUUAAGAGAGCUGGCUUCCAAAAAAUGAAGGAAUUACUGAGCAGCAUCCCAUGGACGCCAAUAUUAAAAAACAGAGUUAAGGAUGGAUGGGAGUUUUUCAAAAGUGAAAUACUCAAGGCGCAAAUGCAAACAGUGCCAACAAAGAAGAAAAAUAAGACAAAUGCAAAGAAGCCAGAAUGGAUGUCCAAAGAACUUCUAACUGAGCUAAAGCUCAAAAGUGACAUGCACAAGAAGUGGAAAAGGGGAGAAAUCACCAAAGAAGAAUUCAAACGUAUAGCCAACACCUGUAGGGAAAAGGUUCGCAAGGCUAAAGCGCAAAAUGAGCUCAGGCUUGCCAGGGACAUAAAAAACAACAAAAAAGGUUUUUUUGCUUACGUUGGUAGAAAAAGGAAGAAAAAGGAGGCGAUAGGGCCACUGCAAGGAGAAGAUGGGGUGAUGGUGACAGGGGAUAGGGAAAAGGCAGAACUGCUUAAUGCCUUCUUUGCCUCGGUCUUCUCACAAAAAGAAAGCCAUCUUCAACCUCAGCAACAUGGAAUGGACGAAGGAUUGGGGGAAAUUCAACCCCAAAUAGGGAAACAAGUUGUCCAGGAACACCUGGCCACUCUAAACGAAUUCAAGUCGCCAGGGCCAGAUCAGCUACAUCCAAGAGUAUUGAAAGAAUUAGCGGAAGUUAUUUCAGAACCACUAGCAAUUAUCUUCGAGAGUUCUUGGAGAACAGGAGAAGUCCCAGCAGAUUGGAGGAGGGCGAAUGUGGUCCCUAUCUUCAAGAAGGGAAAAAGAACGACCCAAACAAUUACCGUCCGGUCAGCCUCACAUCAAUACCAGGCAAGAUUCUGGAAAAGAUCAUUAAGGAAGUGGUCUGCAAACACUUAGAAACAAAUGCGGUCAUUGCUAAUAGUCAACACGGAUUUACCAAAAACAAGUCAUGCCAGACUAAUAGGAAUAUAUUUUCAUAACCUGUUAAGAUUAUGAUUCCAAUAUGGUUAAACAUUCGUGCAGAGCAGUAAAAACGCAGAAGACUAGGGGUUUAUGUGAGCAGAGGUAAAAAGAAAUUAAACAAUAAGACAAAAUAUCCAGCCUCCCUUUCCCUUUAAAAAGUCAUGCGCAUAAAAUAAGCAUCAGAGACAUCAAAUAAAAUAGCAAAAAUAUGUUUACUCACAAUCUUGUAUGAUGAUGGUCAUACAGGCAAAAACAUCUUAGUUCCAAAGAAAAACAGUUCAGGAAACUACAUAUCUCUUAACAGACAGGAACAUCAGCACGGCAUGGUCAGGAGCAAAGAGGAAGAGACAGGAAGAGGCAUCUGUACAUCACUUCCUGUGUGUCCCCAGAAAGGAUACUCCCAUUUCUCAUUUCAUAUGCAAAACCCCCUAAAUGGUGUCAUCAACUCUAGAAUGCAGCUUGUCAGGUUACUAAGCAACAGACAUAACUAACUACAUAAACCAUCCCACAUUGAAAAUGCAUGCAUGAUUGCUUAGAUAACCCAACACAGACUAAUCUGAUCUCUUUUUUCAAUAGAGUUACGAGUUGGGUCGAUACAGGGAAUGCCGUGGAUGUAGCGUACCUGGAUUUCAGUAAGGCCUUCGACAAAGUCCCCCACAACCUUCUGGCAAACAAACUAGUUAAAUGUGGGCUAGACAAAACUACGGUUAGGUGGAUCUGUAAUUGGCUAAGCGAACGAACCCAAAGGGUGCUCACCAAUGCGUCGUCUUCAUCAUGGAAAGAAGUGACAAGUGGAGUGCCACAGGGCUCCGUCCUGGGCCCAGUUCUGUUCAACAUCUUUAUUAACGACUUAGACAAAGGGUUAGAAGGCACGAUCAUCAAGUUUGCAGAUGACACCAAACUCGGAGGGAUAGCUAACACUCCAGAAGACAGGAGCAGAAUUCAAAACGAUCUUGACAGACUAGAGAGAUGGGCCGAAACUAACAAAAUGAAGUUCAACAGGGACAAAUGCAAGAUACUUCACUUUGGCAGAAAAAAUGGAAAUCAAAGAUACAGAAUGGGGGACGCCUGGCUUGACAGCAGUGUGUGCGAAAAAGACCUUGGAGUCCUCAUGGACAACAAGUUAAACAUGAGCCUACAAUGUGAUGCGGCAGCUAAAAAAGCCAAUGGGAUUUUGGCCUGCAUCAAUAGAGGAAUAGCGUCUAGAUCCAGGGAAGUCCUGCUCCCCCUCUAUUCUGCCUUGGUCAGACCACACCUGGAAUACUGUGUCCAAUUUUGGGCACCGCAGAUGAAGGGAGAUGUUGACAAGCUGGAAAGCGUCCAGAGGAGGGCGACUAAAAUGAUUAAGGAGAACAAGCCCUAUGAGGAGCGGCUUAAAGAGCUGGGCAUGUUUAGCCUGCAGAAGAGAAGGCUGAGAGGAGACAUGAUAGCCAUGUACAAAUACGUGAGGGGAAGGCAUAGGCAGGAGGGAGCAAGCUUAUUUUCUGCUGCCCUGCAGACUAGGACACGGAACAAUGGCUUCAAACUACAGGAAAGGAGAUUCCACCUGAACAUCAGGAAGAACUUCCUCACUGUGAAGGCUGUUCGGCAGUGUAACUCUCUCCCCCGGACUGUGGUGGAGGCUCCUUCCUUGGAAGCUCUUAAGCAGAGGCUGGAUGGCCAUCUGUCGGGCGUGCUUUGAAUGCGAUUUCCUGCUUCUUAGUGGGGGGUUGGACUAGAUGGCCCAUGAGGUCUCUUCCAACUCUACUAUUCUAUGACUCUAUGACUCUAUGAAGGCCAUUUGUGGCUCUUCAGCAUGGGGAGUUGUAGCUGUUUGUGUAGGUGGGACCCUGUAUGUAUAAAUGGACACCCAUGCCACAUACACACAUACAGAUUUCCACUUUUAUUAUGUGCAUAGAAGAUGGAUAAAUAUUAGCUUUUAAGUACAAAGGUCUCCUAUUUUAAUAACUGUACCUACCUAAAACAUAUCUUGAAUUUCUCUUUUUGUCGUUUUAUUCUUUAAAAGAAAUUAAUUGCUUGUAUGUGUGCCACAUCUGGGAGUGGGACCUGAGUAUCUAGUUUUCAUGGGUCAUCUACAGGUAGGAAAUGAGGGUGCAAAUUAUUUAGGGCUGCUGAGGUAACCUCCAAGGAAGAUGAAAUACAAUGAACAAAUCUUCAUCUCACCCAGUAGAGCAGCAGCCUACUACAAUAUGCAACACUUAAUUUAUUUGUUGAUGUAUGUUGAAAAGACUCUCCAGGAUGUUUAUGUAUUUAAUUAGUUAGCACCCUCUUUCCUUCCCAAUUGUUGUGUCAGAGCUCACCCUCUGCAUCCACUUUCUGGCUAGUGGGCUAGAUUCAGUGUUCAUUUUCCUAAAUAACUGAGAAGAAA